GGAGCGGUGUCCGAGUGGUUGAAGGAGGCGGUCUUGAAAACCGUUGUACUGCGAGGUACCGGGGGUUCGAAUCCCCCCUGCUCCG
This 85-nucleotide transfer RNA is filed under the name Treponema sp. RNAcentral describes it as "tRNA-Ser". It matches the Rfam family "tRNA". From Rfam's summary of the family: Transfer RNA (tRNA) molecules are approximately 80 nucleotides in length. The record is from RNAcentral. Lineage: Bacteria; Pseudomonadati; Spirochaetota; Spirochaetia; Treponematales; Treponemataceae.